Molecule: long non-coding RNA, 643 nt
Organism: Daphnia magna
Lineage: Eukaryota; Metazoa; Arthropoda; Branchiopoda; Diplostraca; Daphniidae
Exons: 6
Source: RefSeq, a predicted model, not a curated record
CGCCAAACAUCAAUAGCGUGGCCUGUGCUAUGUGAUUGCAUUGUUACUGCUGGAGUGAGCAAUUUCAGAUUGCGUCAUGAUGGCGUGCCCCGUUAGCGUCGUGAUCGGCGUGCCCUGUUAGCGUCAUGGUUGGCGUGCCCUGUGUUAGCCUCAUGAUUGGCGUGCCCUGUGUUAACACGAUAUGUUUUAUUUAUUCGUGUGCUGUGAUUUCAACACCAGCAUUGGUCAGAGGAGACUCGCAAGCAGCAAGGAAAGGAGGCUGCUCUUCAUCAGCCAGAAGUUUGAUACAAAGGAUUACACAAGUUGAUUUCAUUACUUAUAAGCAAACUCAAUUUUUUGGAUAUAGAUGGGCAGCAAUUUUAUCGAGCCAUGACAUCUGAUUUCUGUUAUCCUGCUUAUGGUGACCUGUCACUUGAUGAUAAGCCAAACCUAAGUUGCCUCUAGGAAUUAUGAAUGUCAAAUUUGGGACACAGCUGUGCAGUUUUUUUAUCGAGCUCUGACUUCUGAGUAUGAUUUAAUUAUUUAAUUUUCUUAGAGUUUACUUUAUUAAUUGGUCGAAACCCUAUGCUUCUGUUGCUAUACUCCAUGCCUUUGGUGCAACACAAUGAUUUAAAUUGAUAAUAAAUACUUUAUUUAUCAACAA